AGUUAAAUUCACGAUGGGCUCCUAAUCAGGAGCGACAGAGAUGGAGAAGCUGAAUCCAGUAGCCGGAGACCCCCUGACCAGGGGAUGCAGAUUUAGGUCAUUGGCAAAAAGAAACAGAGAUUUCGGGCAUCAACAAUAUUUCGCUUUGAUUGGGUCAAAUGCUGCCUUGAUGUUAAAGGCAGUCACUCUCACAUCAUCUGUUGAAUUCAGCUCCUUUGUCCAUGUAACAAAGUCAGGAGGUGAACAGCACUAGCAGAUGCCAAAGUGAGCAUAGUGUCUGCUAUGACUAGGACCAGACUGCCAUCAUCAUUUGACCGGGAACAGCAUAUAGAGUCAGAGAGACCAGGUGCAGUGCAAUCAUGUGAUCAAAAGGUAGGAACCUGGGGACAUGAGGCUGAAGAUUUAAUGUGAUCAACAUCACGUGACAUGAGUUGGCAAACCCAGCAGAUGGAAGGAUCUGUUUCUAGAGAUAGUAAAAACUGCAGAUCUGUUUCCAGUUCUUUCGUGAUGUUAUUUUUAACCUGAGGUUUUUUUUUGUGGACUGGCCUCCAUGUGGCAAUUUUUCCCCAUGAGCACAUGUAUUGGAAGCUGGAGUGGGUGACUUCUGUCUAUUAACAUUCCAUCUGGGCAUUACCUCUCCAUGCCUUCUCCUCAUGCCAAUACACCCUGCCCAAAAUAUUCUGAAGACAUGCUUAAAUAAAGUCAGUGUACAAUAAUACUUGCUUGUCAAACGCUGAAUUCAAUAACAACAGAAAACGGUAGAAGAUUAUGAAAAGAUUCAAGUUAAAUCGGAGAAAGACUUCACCAAAUCGGAAG
This is a long non-coding RNA of Rhincodon typus (whale shark), 816 nucleotides long. RefSeq lists it as uncharacterized. NCBI's taxonomy places the organism in Eukaryota, Metazoa, Chordata, Chondrichthyes, Orectolobiformes, Rhincodontidae. The transcript is spliced from 3 exons. The record is from RefSeq and is a predicted model, not a curated record.